This 1530-nucleotide ribosomal RNA is filed under the name Escherichia coli. RNAcentral describes it as "bacterial SSU rRNA". It matches the Rfam family "Bacterial small subunit ribosomal RNA". Lineage: Bacteria; Pseudomonadati; Pseudomonadota; Gammaproteobacteria; Enterobacterales; Enterobacteriaceae. The record is from RNAcentral.
GAGAGUUUGAUCAUGAAGCAGAUUGAACGCUGGCGGCGGGCUAACACGUAAAGUCAGACGGUAACGGGAAGAAGCUUUACAUACCUUUGACGAGUGUGGACGAAUUGAAGUAAUGUCUGGGGAAACUACUUUGAUGGAGGGGGAUAACUACUGGAAACGGUAGCUAAUACCGCAUAACGUCGCAAGACCAAAGAGGGGGACCUUCGGGCCUCUUGCCAUCGGAUGUGCCCAGAUGGGAUUAGCUAGUAGGUGGGGUAACGGCUCACCUAGGCGACGAUCCCUAGCUGGUCUGAGAGGAUGACCAGCCACACUGGAACUGAGACACGGUCCAGACUCCUACGGGAGGCAGCAGUGGGGAAUAUUGCACAAUGGGCGCAAGCCUGAUGCAGCCAUGCCGCGUGUAUGAAGAAGGCCUUCGGGUUGUAAAGUACUUUCAGCGGGGAGGAAGGGAGUAAAGUUAAUACCUUUGCUCAUUGACGUUACCCGCAGAAGAAGCACCGGCUAACUCCGUGCCAGCAGCCGCGGUAAUACGGAGGGUGCAAGCGUUAAUCGGAAUUACUGGGCGUAAAGCGCACGCAGGCGGUUUGUUAAGUCAGAUGUGAAAUCCCCGGGCUCAACCUGGGAACUGCAUCUGAUACUGGCAAGCUUGAGUCUCGUAGAGGGGGGUAGAAUUCCAGGUGUAGCGGUGAAAUGCGUAGAGAUCUGGAGGAAUACCGGUGGCAGCCCUGGACGAGACGGCGCUCAGGUCACCCGAAAGCGUGGGGAGCAAACAGGAUUAGAUACCCUGGUAGUCCACGCCGUAAACGAUGUCGACUUGGAGGUUGUGCCCUUGAGGCGUGGCUUCCGGAGCUAACGCGUUAAGUCGACCGCCUGGGGAGUACGGCCGCAAGGUUAAAACUCAAAUGAAUUGACGGGGGCCCGCACAAGCGGUGGAGCAUGGUUUUGAAUUCAAUUACAGCGCGAAGAACCCACGAAUCUUGACAUCCACGGAAGUUUUCAGAGAUAGGAAUGUACCUUGGGAACCGUGGAGACAGGUGCUGCGUAAACAUCGUCAGCUCGUGUUGUGAAAUGUUGGGUUAAGUCUGAGGCGCAACCCACUUAUCGCUGUUUACUGGUGGCCGGGAACUCAAAGGAGACUGCCAGUGAUAAACUGGAGGAAGGUGGGGAUGACGUCAAGUCAUCAUGGCCCUUACGACCAGGGCUACACACGUGCUACAAUGGCGCAUACAAAGAGAAGCGACCUCGCGAGAGCAAGCGGACCUCAUAAAGUGCGUCGUAGUCCGGAUUGGAGUCUGCAACUCGACUCCAUGAAGUCGGAAUCGCGCUAGUGUCGUGGAUCAGAAUGCACCGCGUUAAGAUACGUUCCGGUGUACACCGCCGUCACACCCAUGGGAGUGGGUUGCAAAAGAAGUAGGUAGCUUAACCUUCGGGAGGGCGCUUACCACUUUGUGAUUCAUGACUGGGGUGAAGUCGUAACAAGGUAACCGUAGGGGAACCUGCGGUUGGAUCACCUCCUUAUCUUAAAGAAGC